GUGCUCGCUUCGGCAGCACAUAUACUAAAAUUGGAACGAUACAGAGAAUAUUAGCAUGGCCCCUGCACAAGGACUGUUUAAAGAAUAUAGAUCCAUGAUUUC
Molecule: small nuclear RNA, 102 nt
Organism: Cavia aperea (Brazilian guinea pig)
Lineage: Eukaryota; Metazoa; Chordata; Mammalia; Rodentia; Caviidae
Source: Ensembl